AUCCAGCUGAUGAGUCCCGAAUAAGACGGAACGCACAUCCUGGAU
Non-coding RNA from Schistosoma haematobium, 45 nucleotides. The record is from Rfam. Lineage: Eukaryota; Metazoa; Platyhelminthes; Trematoda; Strigeidida; Schistosomatidae.